CAAUUGAAUUAUAUUACUUGAACAUAAAAGACUUAGAAAACGUCUUAGAAAAAUCUAGACUUCUAGAUUUUAGAUCUAACAAAAACAGUUUUGAACAAGGAAAGAGGCAAGAGAAUACCGAACAAGAUGAAGGUUGCCAUGGUGUUAGCUCUGAUCAUGCUCAGCGUGGCUCUUUGUCCCGCCAUAUCUGGAACUGGAAUGAGUGGCUGCAGUUUAAAGUGCUCAGGAAUCAUUGCCCAUUGCCAUGACAAAAGACAUGAAUGUAUGGAAACUUUUAAAGACUGUCUGUCGGUCUGCCAAGGAAGCGACUGGAGGCGAUAUAGAUUCUCUCACGAGGGAUAACAUCGCGGGAUUCCCGCGGGAUUAUAGUCAACUUGGAUCAUCAGACUUUUUAUAAAUGACUCAAAAGUUUGAUAUCAUCCAGAGAAURAGUUAUACAUAUCCCGAAGAAUAUUAAAGGGAUAAGUAAGAGCUGUCUCGCGGGAUAUAUCGGUACAACGUGCACAAUGACCCGCGGGACGUAAUAGGAUAACUUAUUAGAGAUUACUUGUAAAAUCCUCAAGGGAUGCGAAAUAAUAUAAAGAAAAACCGUGAAACAAAACAAAUAUUUUUUUAAAACUUAUGUAACUUUA
Molecule: long non-coding RNA, 632 nt
Organism: Actinia tenebrosa (Australian red waratah sea anemone)
Lineage: Eukaryota; Metazoa; Cnidaria; Anthozoa; Actiniaria; Actiniidae
Source: RefSeq, a predicted model, not a curated record